GUCAGAUCAUCCUGAGCAUCAGGCAGCAGUGCUGGCUGGACCUGGGAUGCUGUUUGCUUGUGUAAGCUUGCAAACUGCCUUGUCCUGGCUGGGAUGUGGCCUCUGGGGCUCUCUGCUUGCAGUGGGAAGGCCCACUGGCUUCUGCUGCUCAGGAAAUACCCCCAAACCCACCAGUGGACGCUCACCCCAACCCCCCCCCUCCCACCCAAAGGCUCCCGGUUGGUGCUUGCACUUUCCUGCACGAGGACCAUCAGCAGGAGAGGGAUUUGCUGCAGACUGCAGCAGUUCUUGUGAUGUUGGCAGAACCCCUGGAGCUCCGCUUGCAGCAAUGGGCAAGGCUGAAGGAGGUCACAGAAUCACAGCGUCGUUUGAGUUGGAAAGGACCCUUAAAGGCCAUCCGGUCCAACUGCCCUAUCAGUGCAAUCAAAGCAAAGCUCCCAGGCUGGGGAAGGAGCCCCCUAAAUGCCAAAAUAUUUCACGGCCACAAAAAGGACAAAGCAUUGACUUGAAUCUGGAUUUGGAAAAUGAAGACAAGAGGAAUUUCUUUUUCAGUCUGUCUGAACGGAGUGUCUGAAAAGGAGCUGUCAUGGAACGGAGCGCGUGCGCCGAUAACAGCCGCCCAUCCGAGCUGGAUGGCAGCUGACUGCUCUUGGAUCCAUCGCGCACACAUCUGUAGCUGAGAUCCUCCUUUCCAAGCUGCUGCUCCUCGGAGUGCUUCACAGAGGUCAUUCCUCUUUGCAAGGCUCGUUCCCUCCUGCCUUGCAGAUCUCCCUGCCAUUUUCUCCCCUCCUGCAUGUCAGGGCAGCAGGAGGAGUUGCAGCAGUCCCAGGACACGAGUGCACAUGUGCACCACUGCCUUUUUUUUUCACAGGGUGGGAAAACUUUUGGGAAGUGCUGAGAGAUCGCCCUUUUUUCCUGCUCCUGAGGCCAGUUUCCUUCCUCACAGAUUGCAGGUCCCAGGUGGUGCAAACAGCCAGAGCAGCCCAACCCUGCCGAUCUUCCCAAGGCAGCUCCGUGCAUCCCAUGCCACCAGCUCUUCCCUUUGCACUGAGAGAGGAAACUGAGGUACAGGUCCGACCUUCUCCUCUUGCAAAGGAGAUCUGCAGACAGAUGGGUCAAAUACCCCCCAUGCCAGGCAGUAACUUUGCUUCCCUACUGCAGCCAGGAGCCGGGCAGGAGUGCGGCUGGUUGCACUCAGAGCAAUGAAAAGAUAAAUUCAAGCUAAAGCAGUCCACACAUUUCUAUGUUCACUAUGGGAACAGAGGUGUGUGGGUAAAUGCCAAUUUUGCCCCGCUCCUGCUGCACUUCUGCUCGCUUGCUGCAGGUGUGGCAUUCACCCCAAGCACCACAUCGAACCCUUUUGGCUCUGCAGAGGGAGGUGAGUCCCUGCCUCUUCCCACCAUCUGCUGCUGUGGGCUUCUCGGCUCCUGUCUUGCAGGGCUGCUAUCUCCCACGCUUGGCUCAGGGAGCUGAAAGGUUUUUCAAUCAUCUGCUAAUGAUAGGAGAGCAGCUUUUAUUCCCUCUCUCCCCCACUCUUGGCAGGAAAGGUGGAAUGCGGAGCGUGAGAGGAGCAGCCACCUUUCAGGCCAACAGCUGCUUUGGGGGAUGGGUUGGAUAAAUGUGCAGGGUUUCCAAUCAGCCCCACACACCCCGGUCAGAAGGCUUCACCGGAGCACAGCGUGGGGGAAUGGCUGCUGAUAACACUGCGUCCAUCCCAGACAUCCCCACAAACUUUCCUGGAGGAACCCACACCACCAGAGGGGACCGCAGUGGGUCACAACCUGACCCGACCCCAAAGGGCAGCGAUGCAGAUGGCAGUGGGAAAACCAGGUCGGAGUGCAUUGGAAAGAGCUGAAAGUCAGAGGGAUCUCCUCCAAGCCACCUCUCGCUGCUUUUGGAUGCUAGGAGGAACCAACUCUGCGUUGAAGCACUUGGCACAAGGCAGGACCAAGCGCAGAUCCCCCUUCCAACACAUGCACGAGAGCAGAGCUGAACCGUUCGCACAGAAAACAGCUGGAAAAACACAACAAAAUCAAAAGGUCCUUCUGCUCCAUCUCCUGCCUGUAGGUUCUGGUGGGUUGCAGAGCGUUGCCCUCCAUGGUUUGCAGCUCUGCAGAAGGGCUGAGAGCACAGGGACACCAAAGUGUGCCUCUCCCAUGGGGGAGCGUGGGGUCAGCGAGGUGCCCUGGGGACACUCACCCCAACCCAUCUCAUGUCCAGCCGGCGUCUCCCAUAUCCAUCAGCCACGUGCAGCCAGCGCAUUAAAAUCUCAUUUAAAAAGGAAUCAAGGUUUAAUCCAUCCGUGUUUGAAAAUGGUCUUUUCCCAUAUCCUGCUUUUGGCACGGCCUCCCAGCCGGGCCGUUGCACCUCAC
Long non-coding RNA from Gallus gallus (chicken), 2372 nucleotides. The record is from Ensembl. NCBI's taxonomy places the organism in Eukaryota, Metazoa, Chordata, Aves, Galliformes, Phasianidae.